UUCAAAUAAGCCUCGCAUUUGAUCUGACGGACACUGCUCCCUUGCACGGAACCUUAGAAGAAUUUCAGGCUAGAGAAGUUCAGACCUCAGACGUCGGACACCAAGAAAAUCCAUGCUGUAUGCUGUGCUCUUCUUAGCAAUUAAGAAGAUCUAGGUAGUUAAGAAAUGAAUGUUUGAUCACCAAGCUGGAAGGUAAUGAGUUGUUUGAUUCUUGGGUCAUCAAAAGUUGAAGAAACAAAUCAAACUGCUGCAUCAAACGGUCUGCUGGCCAGGUACUUGCAGUCAACAUGGGUCCGCUACCAAUCGUCAUCCACAGUUUCCAAGUCUUCCUUGUUUCCGGCUCCCAGCAGCUGAAGCAGCGAAGGUGCAUCCUUUAACGUAGGCAAUCUAAUUAGUUGAAGAUCAAACACUUCCAGGAAUGGGGCGAGAGCUUCUGUAAGAACCGGGGUAAAGAGAAACUUUAGCGGCGUGGAGAGAG
RNAcentral lists this long non-coding RNA (478 nucleotides) under Elaeis guineensis (African oil palm). Its description in RNAcentral is "long non-coding RNA (EGUI_LNC044192)". Lineage: Eukaryota; Viridiplantae; Streptophyta; Magnoliopsida; Arecales; Arecaceae. The record is from RNAcentral.